GACGGGGCCCGCACAAGCGGAGGAGCAUGUGGUUUAAUUCGAUGAUACGCGAGGAACCUUACCUGGGCUCGAACGUAAGAUGACUGUAGGUGAAAGCUUACAUCUCUUCGGAGCAUUUUACGAGGUGCUGCAUGGUUGUCGUCAGCUCGUGCCGUGAGGUGUCGGGUUAAGUCCCAUAACGAGCGCAACCCCUGCAUUCAGUUGCCAUCGGGUAAUGCCGGGCACUCUGGAAGGACUGCCAUCGACAAGAUGGAGGAAGGUGGGGAUGACGUCAAGUCAUCAUGGCCCUUAUGUCCAGGGCGACACACGUGCUACAAUGGCCGGCACAACGGGAAGCGAGUUCGCGAGGACAAGCGGAUCCCUUAAAGCCGGUCGCAGUUCGGAUUGAAGUCUGCAACUCGACUUCAUGAAGCUGGAAUCGCUAGUAAUCGUGGAUCAGCCAAGCCGCGGUGAAUACGUUCCCGGGCCUU
Molecule: ribosomal RNA, 470 nt
Filed under: uncultured Sphingobacteriales bacterium
Lineage: Bacteria; Pseudomonadati; Bacteroidota; Sphingobacteriia; Sphingobacteriales
Description: bacterial SSU rRNA
Rfam family: Bacterial small subunit ribosomal RNA
Source: RNAcentral